This is a non-coding RNA of Prunus avium (sweet cherry), 1909 nucleotides long. Lineage: Eukaryota; Viridiplantae; Streptophyta; Magnoliopsida; Rosales; Rosaceae. The record is from RefSeq and is a predicted model, not a curated record.
AAAGUGGUGGUAACAUAAGGACAAAAAAAAAGUAUCAGAGAGAGGUGAACAUACCACCACGUCAGAGAGAGAAGCGUGAGAAACUGAGAGGGAAGCGUGAGAGACAGAGAGAGAAGCGUGAGAAACUGACAGAAUAGAACCAAAAUUCGUGAAAUAAUCUAACCACCACGCCAGACGAAUUCAAGAACCAGGCUUCUUUUAUAUGGGUGAGUGAAGAAGAUGAAGAAAAAUUGCUGAAGAAGAAGAAGAAGAAGAAGAAGAAUUGAUGGGUGGUGGUGUGGCGGUCGGCUUUGCGUUCUUUAUAUAAAGAAGACGAAGAUUUGCAGGAAAGAUCUUCAAGAUUUCAAUUCAAAACAGGUAAGGCAAACAUCCUUGUUGUUCACGACUUCGAAUUUCUGUCGAAUUCCAAUUCUUCCCGAAAUUGUUUCCUAAAACGUAUCCUAAAUUUGGGAUACCCGUAUCUAUCUGGUCAGAUACGCGUGUCCUUUUCUGAUUGACCGUAUCCGUUGACUCGGAUACGUAUCCCGUGUGUAUCUUUGCGUAUCCCAGCGUAUCGUAUCCCCCAGCGUAUCAUCAUGAGAGGUAGUGAGUACCACUUUGACUAGAUUAGUGGCAUGUUUAUCCGAAUAUAAAGCAGCUGUUUUGCCAGUUUUAUUUUGGGAAAGAGAAAGCUCAUCCUUUGAUGGGCAUCCAGAAAUAGUAUAAGAGCCUGUCAAAUGACACGAGAUCAAAAUUCAUUAAAAUGCUCCACAAAAUGAAGCAGAUUUGACCAUGUGGUUUUCUGAACACAGACUUGGAGAUGGGCAUUGUAGCUCUCCAAAAAGAUAUGACUUGUCAGAAUAUGUUUGUCCCAGAACCGUUUGUUUCAAAAGAAAAUUUUUACCCUCCAGUAUCAUUUAUUUUAAAUAACAGUUGGAUUCUUCUUGUUUAGGUAAAAAGGUAUAUAGAUAUUUAUUCAGCUUCAUUUGUUAAUGGUUUUUCAAAUGAAGACUUGUUGCACAUAGCAAGCGUGUAUGCUAACAUACUACAAAGAAGUUGCUGUUAUAUAAGAAGGGAAGCCACAAUGAGUUAUUGCCUGCUCUUAGGAGGAAAAUUGAUUUGUAUUCUGAAUUUGUAGCAAGUGUUGCUGAACUUGCUCGCUCCGAACGGACUAAGUUUAAUUUAAAGAUGAUGGGUACUGGACUUGGCAUUAUGUUGAUAUCGCUUCUUCUCCACUUGGAAUUAAGAAAGUGAAGGAGCAAUAUGGUUUUUGUUUUACUUCAUCUGGAGAUUCUGGGCUUUCCUUCGGGUUGAUUUUUUCUUGUUUUAUGGUGGUCAUACUCAUACAUGCAAGCAGCUUCCUCUCGAAUAGUUUCAUCUGUAAAUAAUAGGUACUGUUCAUUUCUGUAUGGAUGCACAGAAUCCGUGGUUAAUGCUCACAUUGGCAAAUUGUUGUUUUGAAGCUGAGAGACAGCUUCAGAAUUUGCUUUUGAUUUCAGAGUUUCUCUGGCAGCUCGGCUUCUGCCAGUUGCUGGUAACAAGUUGAUUAAUUGCAGCGGGACAGGGGAAACAACUGAGACAUCGAAUUAGCGCCGCCAACGCUCAUUACGGAUCUUCAUCAAGCACUCCAUGCUGUUAAUCAGAACUCAAAAUGAGGGCUUCUUUUAUGGAAAAAAAUAAAAGCACUCCGUGAUGUGCAUUUUCCUGUGGCAACUAAUUAUUUUCCUAGACUAAUGCUAAUAUAUGCCAUUGGAUUUGGACAAUUGUUAUUACUGACGUUUAAUCAGCUGUUCAGUAAAGGGAAAUCGUCAGAUCACAGCAAUCUCUUGUAUAUUAAAACAGUCGCCAUGUUUUCUGCAUGGAGCUCAACAAUCAUUAUUCUGUUGGGAAAACAGGGGCCCUGGGUUGCUUUAGCAUUCAUAAUUGGAGG